This 523-nucleotide long non-coding RNA is filed under the name Gallus gallus (chicken). Lineage: Eukaryota; Metazoa; Chordata; Aves; Galliformes; Phasianidae. The record is from RNAcentral.
GGAAGGAAGGAAGGAGAGAAAGAAGGAAGGAAGGAAAGAAGGAAAAGGUAGCACUGUCUGCAGUGUAGGGUUGUUAGAGAAGGUUCCCCCACUGCUGCCACCAAACAGUUAAAACGUUCCAAGCCCUGUCCGAAAUGCAGUGUCGCGCUGUUGCUCUCUGCCUGGGCCGAGGUUUCAUCCUCCCCCCGCCCCGCCCCGCAGCCCUCAGCCCUCAGCCCCGCUCCAUCCAUGCCCGCUGACUGCCGGCCCCCGCACAGCCCGGGCUGCGGGCACGGAGGGCGGACAAACCGUUUCCUUUCCCCGGAACGUUUUGGAGGAGGAGGAGGGCCUGGAGGUGCCCCGGAGGUGAGGGAGAGGCCGGGGCUGUGCCUCCGCGCUGCGUGUGGACAACGCUCUGCAGGAGCCGGGACUUCACCGAGAGAGUAAUGCAGAAAGUGCGGUUGCAUCUCGGAUCGGAGAGGAACCCCGAAAGGCUCAGAGAAAAACCCCAAUGAAAUAUUGGUUUGGAGAAGGAAAAAAAAAA